CAAGUCGCGCGUGAAAGCCUUCGGGCGAGUAAAGCGGCGAACGGGUGAGUAACACGUAAUCAACCUACCCCUAAGAUCGGAAUAACCUCUGGAAACGGAGGGUAAUGCCGAAUGGUCCCACGAGGAGGCAUCUCCAUGUGGGUAAACGGUCAGCUGCUUAGGGAGGGGAUUGCGGGCUAUUAGCUUGUUGGUGGGGUAACGGCCUACCAAGGCGAUGAUGGCUAGCGGGUCUGAGAGGAUGAUCCGUCACACUGGGACUGAGACACUGCCCAGACUCCUACGGGAGGCUGCAGUCGAGAAUCUUCCGCAAUGGGCGAAAGCCUGACGGAGCGACACCGCGUGUAGGAUGAAGGCCUUAGGGUUGUAAACUACUGUCACGUUAUAGGAAUACUGACCAAAACGAGAGGAAGCGCCGGCUAACUCCGUGCCAGCAGCCGCGGUAAUAC
RNAcentral lists this ribosomal RNA (446 nucleotides) under Isochrysis galbana. RNAcentral describes it as "partial Bacterial small subunit ribosomal RNA". It matches the Rfam family "Bacterial small subunit ribosomal RNA", at positions 58 to 526 of the family's 1533-position model. The record is from RNAcentral. Lineage: Eukaryota; Haptophyta; Isochrysidales; Isochrysidaceae.